This 345-nucleotide unclassified non-coding RNA is filed under the name soil metagenome. Its description in RNAcentral is "partial contains 5.8S ribosomal RNA, internal transcribed spacer 2, and large subunit ribosomal RNA". The stretch from base 1 to 119 matches the Rfam family "5.8S ribosomal RNA", at positions 35 to 154 of the family's 154-position model. The record is from RNAcentral.
GAUGAAGAACGUAGCGAAAUGCGAUACGUAAUGUGAAUUGCAAAUUCAGUGAAUCUUCGAGUCUUUGAACGCACAUUGCGCCCCCUGGUAUUCCGGGGGGCAUGCCUGUCCGAGCGUCAUUGCUGCCCUCAAGCACGGCUUGUGUGUUGGGCCCCGUCCUCCGAUCCCGGGGGACGGGCCCGAAAGGCAGCGGCGGCACCGCGUCCGGUCCUCGAGCGUAUGGGGCUUUGUCACCCGCUCUGUAGGCCCGGCCGGCGCUUGCCGAUCAACCCAAAUUUUUAUCCAGGUUGACCUCGGAUCAGGUAGGGAUACCCGCUGAACUUAAGCAUAUCAAUAAGCGGAGGA